Molecule: ribosomal RNA, 163 nt
Filed under: uncultured Mycena
Lineage: Eukaryota; Fungi; Basidiomycota; Agaricomycetes; Agaricales; Tricholomataceae
Description: partial 28S ribosomal RNA
Rfam family: Eukaryotic large subunit ribosomal RNA
Source: RNAcentral
UUUGACCUCAAAUCAGGUAGGACUACCCGCUGAACUUAAGCAUAUCAAUAAGCGGAGGAAAAGAAACUAACAAGGAUUCCCCUAGUAACUGCGAGUGAAGCGGGAAAAGCUCAAAUUUAAAAUCUGGCGGUUCUUGUAGCCGUCCGAGUUGUAAUUUAGAGAA